AUGGCUGGUAGGACGGCCGAAAAGUUCAGGGAGGUGCAGAGCAAGAUCGACUUCUGCCUCAUCCUCUUCCCUGUGAUCAGCCACAUCGGCAUAACACGUCGCCUCGAAUGGAUCUACAACGUGCUUGUUCAAGAUGGCUCCACCAGAGAUGAACCGUCACCACUUCCACAACUGCAGAGGUUGCCCAGGAGGCUUCACGAUGGGCGAGGGGUGGCCAUCAAGCGGAUCAAUAAUGACGAGUACUGCAUAAAGGUAUUCAGCACGGAGCUCCACACCCUACCACGGCUCCAACACAAACACAUCGUCCACCUGCUUGGAUUGUGUGUGACCGUGAGCAAGGAAAAGCGCCUACCAACAACCCGGCAAAAGAGAAAAAAGGGCCUGCUAACAAGGCGGACAAAGGAGCUGGAAGAGCCAGAAGAGCAACAGAGGUUGGUCGUCUACGAGUACAUGGAAAAUGGCACACUCUUCGACCACCUGCACGCUGAUCAGGGCUCCUCCACGUUGUCGCCGGUGACGGUGUCCUGGAAGAUGCGCAUUGAUGUGCUCCUCGGCGUGUCGCGCGCCAUCGAGCACCUGCACUGUCAUGCCAACCCGCCGAUCAUCCAUCGGGACAUCAAGCCGAGUAACAUCCUUUUCGGCGCCAACUGGGUACCACGUGUGUCAGACUUUGGCUUGUCGCUCGUCUGGGACAUGGCGAGUGAGGUGCCGUGGUUGGAUGUCACCGUUAGAGGCACACUUGGAUACAUCGACCUUGAAGGAGGAGAUGAAUAUAGAUCUGGCAUCCUUUGCACUCCCCAUCAUUGA
Molecule: ribosomal RNA, 807 nt
Filed under: Triticum aestivum (bread wheat)
Lineage: Eukaryota; Viridiplantae; Streptophyta; Magnoliopsida; Poales; Poaceae
Description: partial small subunit ribosomal RNA
Source: RNAcentral